UUUCACUUCUCUAGCUAGCUGAAGGAAGGGCUCGAGCCGAGAGCGCUGCCUCCGUCGGUCUCUGGCUCCCCAGCCGGUCUCCGCUAUCCGGUCCUCGCUAGGCCCUCUUCCCCUCCUCCGUUCCUUAACAAAAACAUUAAGUACUUCUUGCCUCUCCAUUCUCUUUCCUACAAUUCAAUUAACCGAGUCAGAAACAUAUUACGGGAUAUUGCCGGUUGAUCGAUUGCUUUAAUAGUUGUUGGUUAGUAAGUCUGCCGUGUGUACACGAGUACGAGCAAUGGAUGUUUGUGAAGGCUAUGAGAUACUGGAAAUCAAGGAGCUAAUUGUUUGGGUCACUUGACUGAAUUGUAACUGCACCAUUUGAGGCGAUUUUGCCCUGGUUUUGCUGGGUGGUAAGGUGGUUUAUGGGAGUUGCUGAGUUGGUGGAAGAUUGGGGCAUUUGCAUAUGGUUGGUACUGAGGAGGACUGUGCUGCUGGAGUGGGAAGCAGGAGAGCAACCGUUGGGAUCUUGGAUUUUUUUCCCAGAGCAGAAUGUGGACUUACUACCUUUAUAUUGAAGCUGAUGUAACACGUCAGAAGUUCUCCACUCCUGCAUAAAUGGACUGCAUCAUCAACCUGCACUAUUUAAGGUCAUGCUUAAUUGCUUAUAGACGAUCUAGGUUCAGAUUGUGAAGUAGGAACACUCGAAUUGUGAAUUUACUUGAAUCAAUACCAUGUAUUCUUGACACUUUCUCUGAUUCUUCAGGUGAAGUUGAAGAAAAGGAAAGAGAACACUGAUUCUUCAGGAAAAACUGGAUAUGGAGCUGCAAGAUCUAAAUGAAGGACUUCGGGAUGGUACUAUUGUAAUUGUUCAUAUGCGAAUUUACAACUUGUCUGGCUAGACCUAUGUUCUGAAUAAUCUUCAUUCCUCCAUCCAUUGUAACUUCAUGUUCAAAGGUGCUUAUGAGACGGAAGUUAAACGAGAUGGGACAAGAAAAGAAGGCUUUUCAGGUUUUACUUGCUUAAAUUUUCUGAUCCAUUAAUUUUUAGAGAAACAUAAUUGCAUAAGUAAGCAGAUUUACUUGCUAUCCAUUGGAAUAAAAAAAUUGAGCGGAGAUAUGAUUUUACUGUUCAUGUUCUUUCUUUUCUAUUUGUAUUGAGGUUCAUGCUCACUCAAAUAUAUGUUGUGGGACUGUCUGAUCCAUGCAUACUUUUUCCUUUCAGUUUGUUUUAUUGAUAGGCAACGUCGUAUUUUUUUUAAUCAAAAAUCUCUAUGGGGUUGGUGAAUCUGCGUUCAUUGGAUGAUCUCUUCUUUAAUAUAAUAAGAAUGGUCCUUUCUUAGAAUAGCAAGACCGAAUCUGGUUAGGUUGGGUGUGAAAUCACCCGACAUGGAAUGCACUCUAUACACCAAUUAUCUACUUCCAUUUUCAUUGGCAUGAAGUCUGCCAUUAACAUACAUUUUUGUUAACAUAUGUUUUAGUAAAUGUGGGAAGCACCACUGGGUAUAGAACAAUCGCAUCCUUGAUAAUUAACUUUGUCAUUUGUUUCAGACUACAUAAGUUACAAAUAAUGUUACCCAUAUGUUUUGUAAUGUUCAAGUUAAGAUUCUGACGGGGGAUAAUUACCAUUCAUCUUCAAAUUUAUAUUCUGAAAAGUUCUUCAGUUCGAACACUAAGGAAGGCUAUUUCAGUUUUCACAACUUCUCCCAAGUUGGACAAUGAAUUUCUAUUUCUACUGCCAGUACUUAUGUUUUCACUACACCUAUAGGCUGCACGUAAGUCUGAAUAAGAAUGAACUAGAUGAUUAAGGCGUUUUUCUAUUAUAUAUAAUCAUAUAUUUCUAAAAUAAAUCCCAGUCUAUAUGAAAUGCUAAUGAGAUCUUGUGCUGUAAAUACAUUCUAAAAUCUCUUCAAUCUGGGGCUUCCUUUAGAGUUUUGUUAGUACUUCCUAUGGAAAAAUCAUUAACAAUUCUAUCCAGUGAAAUGCUGGCCCUUUUCAUUCCAACUAUAGGACAACUAUAAACUCAAACUAUGCUGCUUAGCUGUGCUAUAAUAUGCUAACUCUGAACAAUUGAUUUGCAAUCAAUUAGCACCAGACGCCAUGUUCUUCAUUUUCGUCAGCCAAAAUGCAGAAGAUCGAAUUGCCCUUCUCGGCAUCCUGCCCUGCCGCCUCUUCCACUUGAAGCUCCUCUGCAGCCAUGGUGAUGGUUGUGCGCCUCUGUUACUGCAAAACCGCCUACCUCGAGGUAUAGAACAGCAGCCACUGUUUUUUGCAAAUGAAGCCACGAGGGCUUGGCAGGCCAUGUCCAUCGCGCCGUGUUGUCAAAGUUGCUGCUACUACCUCUGUUUACUUGGCCAAGAUCGAACUACAGCCACGGCAUCAGAUGGUUCCACGUGUGCUUUUGUUUGCCCUAUAGUUAAAUCAAGUGUUCUCUCUUUUGCCGGCCACUAAGAACCAGCUAGAGUGAUGGCGGCCACGACGACAUGGUGUUUUUCUCCAUUAAAAGCAAUAUUAUGAAGGAACAUGAAAAUGAAGCGGUGGACUGCCUUUGCAAAUAUAGAAAAAUAUCAAUUGUGUUCUGCAUCCAUCAAUAUUAUUUAGAGCACUCAUCAGAAAGUCAGGAUCUAGCAGUUCAGUAGUAGUUACGAGUUUGGGCCCCUUUGUAAGAAUAGAACUUUUUGAUAAAUUUAGUAGUGACAUGCCAGAUGCCAUACGGAAGGUAUUCUUCAAGAAUCAAGAGGAUAUAUAUGCUGAAGAUCUCAUAUGUUAAGCGUGUUGAUACAUGCUUACAUCUGUCAAAGUGGAAAUUCAAGGAAGAGACGCAAUGUAUAUAACCACACCGUAUCGAUUCUUACCGGGAUCAUAUAUAGAUGUC
Molecule: non-coding RNA, 2853 nt
Organism: Triticum urartu
Lineage: Eukaryota; Viridiplantae; Streptophyta; Magnoliopsida; Poales; Poaceae
Source: RefSeq, a predicted model, not a curated record